UUUUAUGAGAUAAGCUAUUUUUCCUGAGAUGUUCUUGGCUAAUGAAAAAUUGAAGAGAGGAGUUCCCGCCUGCACUGAAAGAAUAGCUCAACAUCUGUCAUCCCAUUCUCUGCCAUGGCCCAAAAUCAGGAAGACUACAGCUGUCCUGUUCCUUUCAGAUACUUCUGGGAUAGCGAGGAACCAAACUGAAGACCCAGAGAAUCUCUUCUGCUGUUUUACUGGAUCAUGACUUUGGUCCAUGACUUACAAGCUUUUACACUGUUUCUUUAGGGGGUGUAAGAGCUGCAACAUCAGGCUCAGCAUGAAUGCAGGUGUCUGAGAUACUGACAGUGACAUCUUUGCUUAUCUCACGUUAUCUACAUUUUUGUACAUUUGGAGCAUGCAUGAAAGCUAUCUAAUGCUACCAGAAACAUCAACAAGUUUACAGUUGUAGGAUAUACUCUAUUGGUGUAAAAAGACAGACCAAGUGUCACUAGGUGUACACACACUCUGCAAGGAGCAGAGGAAGCACUGAUGAUUUUUGCACCCUAUAAACCUCUCCUCAUGCUCUGGGGAUACAUUUGACACUUGAACAUGGGUGCCAUUCUUGACAUCUCUGUGCCUGUUAUUGCUAUUGAGAGGUUCAUUCAGUGUUGGAUCAGGAAGCGUUGCUGGUAUAUCUCUUCAAACAACACCAACAGCUAAGCAGGAAGAAUUGUGGACUUCCAAGGCAGGAUUCUGAGUUCUUUGACUGCCAGUGCUGCAUCUGUAGAUGUCUCCAUGUCUCCCUAAGCUUAUGUGACAUCCAACUGAGACUUCUAAAAUGCUCUGUUCAAGUUCAUUCAAGGAUCUGGCUCUUCAUCUCCAUGUGUUUUGAUUUCCCAAUUCUGAAAUAGUUAGAAAGCCUAUGCUCUACAGAAGAACAUGAAAGGCUGGGAGGUGACAUGUUUCUAUUGAACACUGAUGACUUGAAAUCUGCCCCCGCAGUUCAGAAGUACACAGUGCUACUGUAGAAUUCAAAUGCUUGCUGGCCACCUAUUUGUCCAACAGCAGGGAAAAAGACAUACCUGGGGCAUUUAGUAGCAAUAAGAAAGCAUUCCAGAUCCUUAGCUGCAGAAAGUGACUCUCAAUUGACUUUCUGAUAUUGUACUUGAAUUUAUGUUGUUUGGCACUUGCUGUAUAUGCCAAUUUUUUAUUGUGUAAAUAUGACAGAAGCAUAUUGAUCCCUUGUCCUAAGUGCUUAAUCAAACUCAAUUAUACUGCUAACCAUAAACUAGCUAACUGAAAGUUACUGCCUCAAAGUGUUACUAACUAUGGAUCAGACUUGAAUAAAGAAAGUAAUCAUUUAUGUUAUUUUUCUUGG
RNAcentral lists this long non-coding RNA (1342 nucleotides) under Numida meleagris (helmeted guineafowl). RNAcentral's name for it is "lncRNA (ENSNMEG00000007165.1)". The record is from RNAcentral. Lineage: Eukaryota; Metazoa; Chordata; Aves; Galliformes; Numididae.